This 253-nucleotide ribosomal RNA is filed under the name uncultured bacterium. RNAcentral's name for it is "partial 16S ribosomal RNA". It matches the Rfam family "Bacterial small subunit ribosomal RNA", at positions 524 to 776 of the family's 1533-position model. The record is from RNAcentral.
UACGAAGGGGGCUAGCGUUGCUCGGAAUCACUGGGCGUAAAGCGCACGUAGGCGGAUCUUUAAGUCAGGGGUGAAAUCCUGGAGCUCAACUCCAGAACUGCCUUUGAUACUGGGGAUCUCGAGUCCGGGAGAGGUGAGUGGAAUUGCGAGUGUAGAGGUGAAAUUCGUAGAUAUUCGCAAGAACACCAGUGGCGAAGGCGGCUCACUGGCCCGAUACUGACGCUGAGGCACGAAAGCGUGGGGAGCAAACAGG